AAGCAUCCAAUUAAUUUUCUUAUCUUCAUAAAUUUAGAAACGUCUGGCAAUAGCAAUGCCAUGUUAUGAGCUGAAUGUAUAACUGAGAUCAUUACAGUCCCCCCAAAUGGCUACAAUA
Molecule: small nucleolar RNA, 118 nt
Filed under: Jaculus jaculus (lesser Egyptian jerboa)
Lineage: Eukaryota; Metazoa; Chordata; Mammalia; Rodentia; Dipodidae
Description: Small nucleolar RNA SNORA33 (ENSJJAG00000010134.1)
Source: RNAcentral